Molecule: long non-coding RNA, 731 nt
Filed under: Brassica napus (rape)
Lineage: Eukaryota; Viridiplantae; Streptophyta; Magnoliopsida; Brassicales; Brassicaceae
Description: long non-coding RNA (BNAP_LNC023659)
Source: RNAcentral
AGCCCACAAGCCGCGACAUCCACAUGUCGUGAACAUGGCCUGCGAAACGCCCUAGACGAAUCUGUCGUGACAUAGCCGCGACCACCUGAUGCUCCCGAAUCGGGAUGUUAAAAUGGAUGUUAAAAUGGGAGUCCCGAUGCUUACACGUCACGGCCUCCAUACGUCACGGCCGCAGCUUGCGAAAUCUCUUGGAUGGUUUCGUCGAAACCUUGCCGCAACCCGCUGCUAGCCGCGAAGAUCACUUGCGGUCUCCAUGGUCUGUUGAAGCCAUCACACGAUCCAUCUUCUCCGCCGCAAGUCCGCUUCUCUUGUCCACGCCAUGAAGCCGCUCUGCAUCUCGAGAUUGGAGAUCAUGGUUGGUCGUCUCUGUCUCCCCUGCUUUGCUCCACCACGAAGCUCUCUGCCGCGGCUCCUCCACGAAUCUGCAACUUUUCUCAGUUAUGGCAAGACCAAUCCCGAGCUCAAUUGUCGUCGUUAGCUCUCACCGGUGCUCAUCCUCGUCGUCUUGCUCUUAACCCGCCGUGGUAGCCGCCGGGAUCGUCGUCAACCAAUCCGGAGAACAAUCGAUCUCUCCAAUGGUGGGUUUUGGAGAUUUUGCAAGACAGGUCCCUGAACUUUUGAUAACUCCGUUUCUGACCCCAUACAUUGUAAAUUGCAACCAUUACCUCACGAUUUUGUUCCAAACUUCUCUAAAGUGCACUUUAGCCCUGUCAAAUGCAAAUGAACACACA